Molecule: ribosomal RNA, 258 nt
Filed under: uncultured bacterium
Lineage: Bacteria
Description: partial 16S ribosomal RNA
Rfam family: Bacterial small subunit ribosomal RNA
Source: RNAcentral
UGGCGGACGGGUGAGUAACGCGUGGGCAACCUGCCUUACACAGGGGGAUAACACUUAGAAAUAGGUGCUAAAACCGCAUAAGCGCACAGCUUCGCAUGAAGCGGUGUGAAAAACUCCGGUGGUGUAAGAUGGACCCGCGUCUGAUUAGCUAGUUGGCGGGGUAACGGCCCACCAAGGCGACGAUCAGUAGCCGGACUGAGAGGUUGGCCGGCCACAUUGGGACUGAGACACGGCCCAGACUCCUACGGAAGGCAGCAG